GGGGAAUAUUGCACAAUGGGCGCAAGCCUGAUGCAGCGACGCCGCGUGAGCGAAGAAGGUUUUCGGAUCGUAAAGCUCUGUCCUCUGGGAAGAAAAAAUGACGGUACCAGAGGAGGAAGCCCCGGCUAACUACGUGCCAGCAGCCGCGGUAAUACGUAGGGGGCUAGCGUUGUCCGGAUUUACUGGGCGUAAAGGGUGAGUAGGCGGUAAUGUGUGUCAGAUGUUUAAUCUAUGAGCUCAACUCAUUAUCAGCAUUUGAAACUACAUAACUUGAGUGCAGGAGAGGUAAGUGGAAUUCCUAGUGUAGCGGUGGAAUGCGUAGAUAUUAGGAGGAACACCGGUGGCGAAGGCGACUUACUGGACUGUAACUGACGCUGAGACACGAAAGCGUGGGGAGCGAACA
This 403-nucleotide ribosomal RNA is filed under the name uncultured Eubacteriales bacterium. Its description in RNAcentral is "bacterial SSU rRNA". It matches the Rfam family "Bacterial small subunit ribosomal RNA", at positions 356 to 774 of the family's 1533-position model. The record is from RNAcentral. Lineage: Bacteria; Bacillati; Bacillota; Clostridia; Eubacteriales.